GUGACUUAAAAAAAUCGAGUAAUGGAAUCGCAUAUAUUUUGUUAUGUAAAGUAUGGUUUUGAAAAUUACUAACUCAUAGGAUUAUGCCAUGUGUCAAGUCUAUCGAUCAGAUGUUGACACGUGUAAGAACAUAAUUAAUUUUUUUCUUCUUAAAGAAAUAGAAAUACUAAAAAAAAAAUCAAUUAAAUUUUUUCUUCUUAAA
Molecule: small RNA, 202 nt
Filed under: Arabidopsis thaliana (thale cress)
Lineage: Eukaryota; Viridiplantae; Streptophyta; Magnoliopsida; Brassicales; Brassicaceae
Description: ATSL136610
Source: RNAcentral